GGCCAACUUCCGUCUGAAUCACCAUUAGAGGACUUUUACUUUGGAGUCUCAUGGAGAACACUAAUAUGCUAUUUUUUUAUUUUUAUGAAAGUAUAAAAUUUUAUCUCUUUGCAUACUUGAUUUUACUUUGAUCGAUAUCGGCAAGGUGAUUUUAGAGUUUGGAUUCUGACUCAAUAGUUUUAUUUGAUAAAGCUAUUGAUUUGUAUAUU
RNAcentral lists this long non-coding RNA (209 nucleotides) under Elaeis guineensis (African oil palm). RNAcentral's name for it is "long non-coding RNA (EGUI_LNC058709)". Lineage: Eukaryota; Viridiplantae; Streptophyta; Magnoliopsida; Arecales; Arecaceae. The record is from RNAcentral.